CGCCGCCGCCCCGCCUCCCGCUCCGCCGCCGAGAGGCUAUCAAGCAGCCGGCAUCGAUAUCCGAGAGGAGUCACCCUUCGCCGCCGCCGAGAUCCCGUGCCUCUCUACAGAUCCCUCUCGCUCUCCUCUUCGCCCAUCCACCCGGAUCAAAAGUCGAAACCCGCCGCCCCUAUGUCUCUGCUGGUGCUCGACGGAAGACGAGGGCGGCUCCUCCCAGCGAUUCCCCGUGGUCCUCGGCGGAGGUGACGGCUAGCUGCAGCGAAAAGACAAUGGGGUGAUGCUCACCUUCGCCGAGGAGAAGAUGCUCACCUUCUCGCCCCUCCCCCUACCGUGAUGUACGUGGAUGAAUCCGACGGCAACGAGGAUGACCUCGUAGGAUCCAACCACGGUUGUGCGGAAUUUCGCGGGGACGAAUCUACCCGGCCUCUCGUCCUAUCCGCCGCCGGUAGAGGCAUCCAUGUACGAUGGUGUGAAUUUUGGCUGGUUCCAUGAGCACUUCGUUCCCUGGGGUGUAGUCUUCGUUGAUUCGGGAAAAUGGUGGUUGUCUGUUUAGCCAUUUCAAUCUGCUAUUGAUCAUGCUCAUUCUUGUUAUAUUCAGUUAUAUUGGAAACACCAUCUGAUUCAGUUAUAUUCUUGAUCAUGCUCAUGCUCAUCCUUAUUCAAAUAAGAAUACUUCUGUUUGGAGAGCUCGGGCGUCAGCUGUGUGGAAGCACCAGCUGAUUUGUAACUGGUCGGAAGGUCCUUGGGGUUGGGUGCGGCAACUCGCGACUCGAAGACAUUUCGUGCAUGUGCUCCCCUGCGCUUGGUGACCAAUACAUCUACUCUGUCGUGAACAUGUGCUUCGUGUCAUACAGGUCGCCGCCAAGGGUGAGCUCAUGCAGCGGUAUAGGUUAUGUGCAUUAUUGAUCAACCAAUCUUGAGAGAGAGAUGGGUUGGCGUGAAUGGGAAGAAAACUACAUUGAAUGGACAAGAAGUAUGCCCUCAACUUUUUCAUGGUAUGUCUUACUUAUUGUUCUUGUGAUUUUUCCAUCAGUUUCACUUUACAUUUCUUCUUUGCUUUUUCAUGGCAUCGGGAUGCCCACUGCCGACGGCGCUGCGUUGCUACCAAAGGGGCACCCUGCCGCGGCCGGGGACUCGCUGCCGUCGAAGCACGACACCUUGCCGUCACGUAUGUUGGGUGUUGUGGUGCUGCAGGUCCUUGGGGUUGGGUGCGGCAACUCGAGACUCGAAGACGAUCUUCUGUGGUAGGGCGUCGCCGGCGGCGGCGGCACCUGUAUAGACCGUCUCGGUGUGACAGAAGAGUUCGGAGUUCACUCCAAGAAAGAAUAGCUUUGCAUGUACAUUUGCUGAAAGACUGAUGUGCUGAACUUUCGAUGAUUUUGAUUGGUAUUCAACUUGAGGAAUUUCAUACUUUUGGAGUGGAUCUAUCAAAUAUAUGUGUGCUCGAUGUUGGUGUUUUAAUCCGGAUCUCUCGCUGAAGGUGCUUGAUGUUGGUGUUUGAAUACUGCUACCGUACUUCAAGUCUAUGAAGAAUUGCAAGGAGGAGGAUAAUAGAGCAGCAACCAGAGCUGACAAUUGGCCUGUAAAUGCAGCAAAGUUCUCCUAGAGGUAGCGGGGCGCUUGAGGUGAGGUGGCUGCAGGGUCGCUCGAGAAGAACAGGCUCAUCAGCACCACCUGGAUGCCUUCGUCAUCAGCAAUGUGGACAAGGUAAAGUGGGAUGGUGGGAUUGUAUAGUGUUCAUAAGCCAGUCCGGGCAUUGUCCUUCCUCGAAUGAAUCUGAGACUACUCCUCAUAUGUUAAUCAGUUGCUCCUCCCUAGCUUUGGUUUGGUCUGAACUUCAAAGUUUUCAUCCACUCAAUGUUGAUUCAGUCAAAGAUCUCUUGGAAAAAUUAUUUCGACAAGAUUCACUCUAUAAUGUUGUUAUCAUUGUCCUCUGGAAUAUAUGGAAGCGCAAAAACUCCAAGGUCUCCCGAGAUGUUUGUGAGGAAUUGCACAUUACUGCUAGCAAGAUUGCUGAUGAUUGAUACCAUGGUCCAACAGUUUUAUGAAGUGGUUCAGGCUGGCGUAAGCCGCCAUACUCCCAGUAAAAAAAGGCUACAAGCUUCGCUUCGGCCUUUCGGAACUGAAUAUUAUGUAGUUUUAUUGAGAUUAUUGAUAGUGCUUCUGUACUAUCAAAGAAGGUAAUAGUCUCUUAUGUGUUUCUUUUUGUCCAUUUGAAUGCACUCCAUUUUUUAGUGUAUUAAUUAACAUCAAAUCUCCCAUUCUUUCUAGAGUACUGAUGUAUUAGUAUUUUCAGCUUAACACAUUUAACUUCCUAUAGAUUUCAUGGUUUAUGCAGAUUAACCGAGCUAAGAAUUUUUGUGAAGCUAAAGCUGGUGUUAAGAUGAACGCCGCUAUGUAUAUAUUUGAAACAGUUAGAUACAUGCUUGACAGACUAUAUAGGGGUGAUCAAAACCAUGCGAAGCAUUAUGGGACAAGUUUCUCUACCUUAAAUAAGUGUUCGUUCUCUCGUGUUUACUAUUCAUUUAAGGGUCAUUAACCCGUGUAUUUAUUUUCAUUGACCAAGUUUUACAUUUUUCUUCAGUAGUGUUCAUUGUGCAGUUCUAGAUUGUUAAGAGAGUAGAGUUUAUUGAUUUAUUACAUGGAGAGACCAGUAGUGUCGUAGUGGUCUUGACAUAAUUGCUAACAUUUUCUACUAGGCAAAGUUUAAUUGCACUAAAUACAAAUUAGAACAUGCAUAGACAUUUAUCUUCUUUCUACAGAAUGGUUAGUGUAAACGUACUUUGAGUUGUACAUGAUUCUGUAUCUCACCAUUUUAUCUCAUAUGUUGAUGUGGUUGCAGAUAUGAACUUCAAAUUAUCCUGCAAUGUAUUGACUGCUCGGAGCUAACUUGACUAUGCCAGUUUUCUUUUAUGGCUCAAAGUAGUUAGUGUCCCCCCUUAUUAUGAGAGAGCCUCGUAGGUAUAUCAAGUGGCACUUGGCUGAUCGCUCGCGCUGCCUCCAGGGGGGCGGCUCGGGCGAACCCUAGCCGCCGCCGCCCCCGACCCCCAUCCACUUGCUUCCCCCGCCGCCGCCGGAGGAAGCCGGCGAGCGAAGCUCGUCCGGCGGACGGCGGUGGCGGGCUCGCCUCCUUUUCUCCUCGAGGGGGCCUCUGGCUGGCGCGCAGCGGUGCCCCUGGGCGCCAUGCGGGGCGGCGGAGUCCGGAUGCUGGGGCGGCGGCCCCAGGGGUUCUUGGCGGGGCUGGGCAACCACGGCUGCGUGGGCAGCCUGGGUGGCCGGCCGUGGCUUCCGGUGGCGGCGGAUCUGGGGUUCCUGUCCAGAUCCGUUUUGCAGGGGUGAUUUGGCGCCUCCUACUCCCCGGGGCGGCGGCCUCGGCCGAUGGGCGCGGUGCAGCCGGCGGGCUGUGCCGGUGGGCUCUGGUGGGCAGCCUCCCACGGCCGCGCGGGCGGCGUGGGGGCUGCGGACGCUGGCGCAGUGGCGGCUCCUCGCAAUCCGUCAUGGCUCCAUGUAGAAGAUCCGCCCCUGCUUCGAUCUGUCCCGAUCCGUGCUGGUGCCGGUCCUUGGCGGCGGCUUCGGCGUCCCCUAUGGCCGGCCUGGCGGACCUGGCGUGCGGGUGAGGUUCCGGGGGAAACCCCUGGCUGGCGCGGCAGCCUCCCCAAAGUCGACGCCUUUGGCGCUGAUUCCCUUCCUGAAGGCUUUGGGGUGGAUCCUCUCCCUUCCGCCUCCUCCUCGAGCUAUGGCGAAAGCUUUUGUUCCCCUGGUCUGGGCGUCGACGGCACCCUGGUGUCGUGCUCCUUCUUGAAGGCGGCGGCUGGGAACAACUCUUGGUGGCGGGGCUGCUGGUGGCGUGGUGGCGGUGCGCUUCGGCCUUCUACUUGGUGCCGCGCCUUGCUUCGCGGGACCAGCGGACGGUUUCUUUGGUGGAGCGGUGCUUCAUCCAUACAUUG
Molecule: long non-coding RNA, 3947 nt
Organism: Triticum aestivum (bread wheat)
Lineage: Eukaryota; Viridiplantae; Streptophyta; Magnoliopsida; Poales; Poaceae
Exons: 10
Source: RefSeq, a predicted model, not a curated record